CUGAUGGGGAAACUCAUCUCAUGGAAGUGCUCUAUUCAAUAAAGCCACCAGGGUAAACAAAUUAACACAUCAAGACCUAAUGAGCAACAAGACCAAACCAAUUAUUAUGUCAUUAAUUAGUAAGGAUUAGACUAAGAGGUGAUAAAGUGUUUUUCACCAGCUUAUCAUAAAGCUCUUUGCAAGUCAGUGUCCCUUUUCCUCAGAGAGACACUGGUGUGCUGAAGCAAACAUUCUGGGAUUUCGACACAAGUGUGGAGGAGAGCACUACACCCUCAGCUUUGGUGGUAGCUGGCAUAAUGGUCCACUUGAGAUUUGAAGCAGAAAACUUCAUUGGAGGACAGGCUGCAUAUUGCAACAAGCAGCCAUAUGUGAUGAGCUUCUAAAGAAGGGUGUGAGCACCUGAUCCCCAAACCUCAGUGAGACAGAAUGGAGUGUGGAAAAAUCAACCAGUUUAAAACUUCUAAUGAGCCAGGAAACUAUGACACAAAAGAACAAAAGUAGUUUUCCAAAAAUGAAAGAUCCUACAGUUGCAAAAUACCUGGAUUGCUUGGCACUUGGCACAGGCAUAUGUGAUGACUUGAGGGGCCAUUUUGACACACUUCUUCAGCUUUUGGAGGGGUAAAGGCUGAAUUCUGUUGACAGCUGAGUAACACUGUUACCUGCCAGUGUGAUUACAGCAGUGUCCGCCUUCAUUUUCAAAUCCAAUUUGCAUUUAAUAAAAUGAAAGAUGAAAGCAACCUGGCUGAAAGUGCAUCAUCAGCACCAGCUUGCUGAAUAAUGGAUUUGAAAGACUGGAAAGAAGUCACCAAACUAGUUACAACGUUGGAGUGAAUCUAGGUCAGAGAAACUUCAGCAUGCCUUAUUGCAAGCCCAUGACAUAAAUCAUCCAGGAGAGGCCAGAGAAGACCAGCUUCCCAGCUUAUUUAUUGUAGAAAAGAUUGGCAUUAAUGAGCUGGAGGAGCGGAACGCAUCCAUCUGGGAUCAAAAUAUCAGCAUGUCCUUCAAGGGGAUGGUGACUAUCCAGAAAAUGUGUCCAGAGAGACCCUGUGCUCCAAACCACGGGGGAGUUUCCUGCAGACUGCACUGUCAUCCCGAGGUACCCUGUGUCCUGCUGUGCAGCCCUGG
Molecule: long non-coding RNA, 1125 nt
Organism: Cyanistes caeruleus (blue tit)
Lineage: Eukaryota; Metazoa; Chordata; Aves; Passeriformes; Paridae
Source: RefSeq, a predicted model, not a curated record